CACCACACCGAAACCAUCACAAAGACUGCUGGACACUGGCUCUUCUUCCUCCACAGGCUGAGGAGGUUCAACAUGGACUCCAGGAUACUCUGUGACUUCUACAGGUGCACCAUCAAGAGUAUCCUGACGGGCUGCAUCACCGUCAGGUAGUUCCAGGCUCUACAGAGGGUUUAAGGACGUGUUGUGCAGCUGGAACGUGGCGCAGAUGCUCCUGGUGAAAAUCAAGGGACAUGGCAUGAUUGACAACCGCAUCACUCGGGCCAUUUCUCUGUGUAAGAGAAUUGUCAGCAGGUUCUCUUACAGCUGGAGAAAAGAAGAGAGCUGGCUGAAGUCCAGAUUCAGCUGGGUCUGCCGGCUCGCCAGCUCAUCACAAAGUCAGCCAGCCGCUGGGGACCAAGGCAGCAAAUGAUGGACAGGGUCCUGGAGCAGGAGGGAGCACUCUCAAAAGUCCUGUCUGCUUACAAAAAGUCCAGGCAUAAUGUGGGAAAUUAACAUUUUAGAUUGUAGCUUAUUACAUUAGUCUGAGGGACUUUAGCUGAGGGACAGAAGAUCAAAGUGUCAUAUUAUCAAAAUGUCAUGUUUUCCUGACAAAAGGUUAGGAGACAGCAACAGGGGAUCAGUUCUUCUACACCAGAGAUCUUCAACCGUGGGUCCGCAA
Sander lucioperca (pikeperch) is the source of this 658-nucleotide long non-coding RNA. RefSeq lists it as uncharacterized. Lineage: Eukaryota; Metazoa; Chordata; Actinopteri; Perciformes; Percidae. The record is from RefSeq and is a predicted model, not a curated record. The transcript is spliced from 3 exons.